GCCUCGCUAGCUCAAUGGCUAGAGCGUGGGACUUUUAAGUGGAAACAUGUGAAAUCCCAAGGUUGCGGGUUCGAGUCCCGCGUGAGGCU
Molecule: non-coding RNA, 89 nt
Organism: Trichophaea hybrida
Lineage: Eukaryota; Fungi; Ascomycota; Pezizomycetes; Pezizales; Pyronemataceae
Source: the annotation of a GenBank genome assembly